UACGUAGGGCGCAAGCGUUGUCCGGAAUUAUUGGGCGUAAAGAGCGCGUAGGCGGCACGGUACGACCGGUGUGAAAGCCCCCGGCUCAACUGGGGAGGGUCACCGGUAACGGCCGAGCUAUGAGUGCAGGAGAGGGAAGUGGAACUCCGGGAGUAGCGGUGAAAUGCGUAGAGACCCGGAGGAACACCAGUGGCGAAGGCGGCUUCCUGGUCUGCAACUGACGCUGUGGCGCGAAAGCUAGGGGAGCAAACGGG
Molecule: ribosomal RNA, 254 nt
Filed under: uncultured bacterium
Lineage: Bacteria
Description: partial 16S ribosomal RNA
Rfam family: Bacterial small subunit ribosomal RNA
Source: RNAcentral